UCGCGAAAACUUCGCAAUGGGGGCAACCCCGACGAGGGAAUUCCAAGUGCCAGCACUUUGUGUUGGCUGUUCUCCUGUCUAAAAAACAGGAGGAGUAAGGGGCGGGUAAGACGGGUGCCAGCCGCCGCGGUAAUACCCGCGCCCCUAGUGGUGGUCGAUAUUAUUGAGCCUAAAACGUCCGUAGCCGGUCUUUUAAAUCCUUGGGUAAAUCGGGCAGCUUAACUGUCCGAAGUCCGGGGAGACUGGGAGACUUGGGACCGGGAGAGGUCAGAGGUACUUCUGGGGUAGGGGUAAAAUCCUGUAAUCCUGGAAGGACCACCGGUGGCGAAGGCGUCUGACUAGAACGGAUCCGACGGUGAGGGACGAAGCCCUGGGGCGCAAACGGGAUUACGAUACCCCG
This 400-nucleotide ribosomal RNA is filed under the name uncultured bacterium. Its description in RNAcentral is "bacterial SSU rRNA". It matches the Rfam family "Archaeal small subunit ribosomal RNA", at positions 339 to 740 of the family's 1478-position model. The record is from RNAcentral.